RNAcentral lists this ribosomal RNA (497 nucleotides) under uncultured bacterium. RNAcentral's name for it is "partial 16S ribosomal RNA". It matches the Rfam family "Bacterial small subunit ribosomal RNA", at positions 28 to 507 of the family's 1533-position model. The record is from RNAcentral.
GAUGAACGCUGGCGGCGUGCCUAAUACAUGCAGGUCGAGCGAACAGACGAGGAGCUUGCUCCUCUGACGUUAGCGGCGGACGGGUGAGUAACACGUGGAUAACCUACCUAUAAGACUGGGAUAACUUCGGGAAACCGGAGCUAAUACCGGAUAAUAUAUUGAACCGCAUGGUUCAAUAGCGAAAGACGGUUUUGCUGUCACUUAUAGAUGGAUCCGCGCCGCAUUAGCUAGUUGGUAAGGUAACGGCUUACCAAGGCAACGAUGCGUAGCCGACCUGAGAGGGUGAUCGGCCACACUGGAACUGAGACACGGUCCAGACUCCUACGGGAGGCAGCAGUAGGGAAUCUUCCGCAAUGGGCGAAAGCCUGACGGAGCAACGCCGCGUGAGUGAUGAAGGUCUUCGGAUCGUAAAACUCUGUUAUUAGGGAAGAACAAAUGUGUAAGUAACUAUGCACGUCUUGACGGUACCUAAUCAGAAAGCCACGGCUAACUACGUG